This 325-nucleotide ribosomal RNA is filed under the name uncultured bacterium. RNAcentral describes it as "bacterial SSU rRNA". It matches the Rfam family "Bacterial small subunit ribosomal RNA", at positions 30 to 334 of the family's 1533-position model. The record is from RNAcentral.
AUUGAACGCUGGCGGCAUGCCUUACACAUGCAAGUCGAACGGAGUGCCUUUGAAAGAGGAUUCGUCCAAUUGAUAAGGUUACUUAGUGGCGGACGGGUGAGUAACGCGUGAGGAACCUGCCUUGGAGUGGGGAAUAACACAGUGAAAAUUGUGCUAAUACCGCAUAAUGCAGUUGGGCCGCAUGGCUCUGACUGCCAAAGAUUUAUCGCUCUGAGAUGGCCUCGCGUCUGAUUAGUUAGUUGGUGGGGUAACGGCCCACCAAGGCGACGAUCAGUAGCCGGACUGAGAGGUUGGCCGGCCACAUUGGGACUGAGACACGGCCCAG